GUGUAGCUCAGUGGUAAAGCAUGUACUUAGCAUGCACAAAGCCCUGGGUUCAAUCCCCCAGCACA
This 65-nucleotide transfer RNA is filed under the name Marmota monax (woodchuck). RNAcentral describes it as "tRNA.Ala". It matches the Rfam family "tRNA", at positions 5 to 66 of the family's 71-position model. Rfam says of the family: Transfer RNA (tRNA) molecules are approximately 80 nucleotides in length. Their secondary structure includes four short double-helical elements and three loops (D, anti-codon, and T loops). The record is from RNAcentral. Lineage: Eukaryota; Metazoa; Chordata; Mammalia; Rodentia; Sciuridae.